ACCAGACUCCUAGGGAGGCAGCAGUGAGGAAUAUUGGUCAAUGGGCGAGAGCCUGAACCAGCCAAGUCGCGUGAGGGAGUACUGCCCUAUGGGUUGUAAACCUCUUUUGUCGGGGAGCAAAAGCCGGACGUGUCCGUCUGUGAGAGUACCCGAAGAAAAAGCAUCGGCUAACUCCGUGCCAGCAGCCGCGGUAAUACGGAGGAUGCGAGCGUUAUCGGGAUUUAUUGGGUUUAAAGGGUGCGUAGGCGGGGCGUUAAGCCAGGGGAAAAAGUGGGGGGCUCAACUCCGUCGGGCGGUUGAAACUGCCGUUCUUGAGUGAGCGAGAAGUAUGCGGAAUGCGUGGUGUAGCGGUGAAAUGCA
Molecule: ribosomal RNA, 360 nt
Filed under: uncultured bacterium
Lineage: Bacteria
Description: bacterial SSU rRNA
Rfam family: Bacterial small subunit ribosomal RNA
Source: RNAcentral